Molecule: ribosomal RNA, 801 nt
Filed under: Kocuria sp.
Lineage: Bacteria; Bacillati; Actinomycetota; Actinomycetes; Micrococcales; Micrococcaceae
Description: bacterial SSU rRNA
Rfam family: Bacterial small subunit ribosomal RNA
Source: RNAcentral
CGCUGAAGCUUGGUGCUUGCACUGGGUGGAUGAGUGGCGAACGGGUGAGUAAUACGUGAGUAACCUGCCCUUGACUCUGGGAUAAGCCUGGGAAACUGGGUCUAAUACUGGAUACGACAUGUCACCGCAUGGUGGUGUGUGGAAAGGGUUUUACUGGUUUUGGAUGGGCUCACGGCCUAUCAGCUUGUUGGUGGGGUAAUGGCUCACCAAGGCGACGACGGGUAGCCGGCCUGAGAGGGUGACCGGCCACACUGGGACUGAGACACGGCCCAGACUCCUACGGGAGGCAGCAGUGGGGAAUAUUGCACAAUGGGCGGAAGCCUGAUGCAGCGACGCCGCGUGAGGGAUGACGGCCUUCGGGUUGUAAACCUCUUUCAGCACGGAAGAAGCGAAAGUGACGGUACGUGCAGAAGAAGCGCCGGCUAACUACGUGCCAGCAGCCGCGGUAAUACGUAGGGCGCAAGCGUUGUCCGGAAUUAUUGGGCGUAAAGAGCUCGUAGGCGGUUUGUCGCGUCUGCUGUGAAAGCCCGGGGCUUAACCCCGGGUGUGCAGUGGGUACGGGCAGACUUGAGUGCAGUAGGGGAGACUGGAAUUCCUGGUGUAGCGGUGAAAUGCGCAGAUAUCAGGAGGAACACCGAUGGCGAAGGCAGGUCUCUGGGCUGUUACUGACGCUGAGGAGCGAAAGCAUGGGGAGCGAACAGGAUUAGAUACCCUGGUAGUCCAUGCCGUAAACGUUGGGCACUAGGUGUGGGGAACAUUCCACGUUUUCCGCGCCGUAGCUAACGCAUUAAGUGCCCCGCC